Molecule: long non-coding RNA, 449 nt
Filed under: Musa acuminata (dwarf banana)
Lineage: Eukaryota; Viridiplantae; Streptophyta; Magnoliopsida; Zingiberales; Musaceae
Description: long non-coding RNA (MACU_LNC000078)
Source: RNAcentral
GACGAAUUCGUCGCAAGCCUAACCGAGGAAGCCCUCAACGAGAUGCAGUACCUUCACGCAUCUCUGACCGAGACUCUCAGGCUGUACCCUGCAGUUCCACUGGUGAACUAUCUGAAGCUAAUUUGCUGGUCGAUCCUUGUUGGCACUCGGUGCUUGCUUACUGACUCACAUGUGUCAACACAGGAUGUCAAGCAAUGCUUCUCGGAGGACACAUUACCAGAUGGAUUCGAAGUCAAGAAAGGAGACUUGGUGAUUUACCAACCUUAUCCUAUGGGAAGAAUGCAGUUCUUGUGGGGUGAGGAUGCAGAGGAUUUCCGGCCAGAGAGAUGGCUCAACGGUGACGGUGUAUUUGUGCCAGGAAGCCCCUUCAAGUUCCCUGCUUUCCAGGUGAGGCAACCAAAAACCUGCAAUUAGCUGGAUAAGUCGAUCUGAAGGUGAUUGAUUCUUUG